CCUACGGGAGGCAGCAGUGAGGAAUAUUGGUCAAUGGACGAGAGUCUGAACCAGCCAAGUAGCGUGAAGGAUGACUGCCCUAUGGGUUGUAAACUUCUUUUAUAUGGGAAUAAAAUGUUCCACGUGUGGGAUUUUGUAUGUACCAUAUGAAUAAGGAUCGGCUAACUCCGUGCCAGCAGCCGCGGUAAUACGGAGGAUCCGAGCGUUAUCCGGAUUUAUUGGGUUUAAAGGGAGCGUAGGUGGAUUGUUAAGUCAGUUGUGAAAGUUUGCGGCUCAACCGCAAAAUUGCAGUUGAAACUGGCAGUCUUGAGUACAGUAGAGGUGGGCGGAAUUCGUGGUGUAGCGGUGAAAUGCUUAGAUAUCACGAAGAACUCCGAUUGCGAAGGCAGUUCACUGGACUGCAACUGACACUGAGGCUCGAAAGUGUGGGUAUCAAACAGGAUUAGAUACCCGUGUAGUC
Molecule: ribosomal RNA, 460 nt
Filed under: uncultured bacterium
Lineage: Bacteria
Description: partial 16S ribosomal RNA
Rfam family: Bacterial small subunit ribosomal RNA
Source: RNAcentral